RNAcentral lists this ribosomal RNA (2900 nucleotides) under Stenotrophomonas sp. 169. RNAcentral describes it as "23S ribosomal RNA". It matches the Rfam family "Bacterial large subunit ribosomal RNA". The record is from RNAcentral. Lineage: Bacteria; Pseudomonadati; Pseudomonadota; Gammaproteobacteria; Lysobacterales; Lysobacteraceae.
GUUAUAUGGUCAAGCGAAUAAGCGCACACGGUGGAUGCCUUGGCGGUCAGAGGCGAUGAAGGACGUGGCAGCCUGCGAAAAGUAUCGGGGAGCUGGCAACAAGCUUUGAUCCGGUAAUGUCCGAAUGGGGAAACCCACCCGCUUGCGGGUAUCCUGCAGUGAAUACAUAGCUGCUGGAAGCGAACCUGGUGAACUGAAAUAUCUAAGUAACCAGAGGAAAAGAAAUCAACCGAGAUUCCGUAAGUAGCGACGAGCGAACGCGGACUAGCCCUUAAGCUGAUUUGGUUCUAGGAAAACAGUCUGGAAAGACUGGCCAUAGAAGGUGAUAGCCCUGUAUCUGAAAGGGCCAUUUCAGUGAAGACGAGUAGGGCGGGGCACGUGAAACCCUGUCUGAACAUGGGGGGACCAUCCUCCAAGGCUAAAUACUACUGACCGACCGAUAGUGAACCAGUACCGUGAGGGAAAGGCGAAAAGAACCCCGGAGAGGGGAGUGAAAUAGAUCCUGAAACCGUGUGCGUACAAGCAGUAGGAGCCUCGCAAGGGGUGACUGCGUACCUUUUGUAUAAUGGGUCAGCGACUUACUGUUCGUGGCAAGCUUAACCGUAUAGGGGAGGCGAAGGGAAACCGAGUCUGAUAAGGGCGCAUAGUCGCGGGCAGUAGACCCGAAACCGGGUGAUCUAGUCAUGGCCAGGGUGAAGGUGCCGUAACAGGUACUGGAGGCCCGAACCCACGUCUGUUGCAAAAGACGGGGAUGAGCUGUGAUUAGGAGUGAAAAGCUAAUCGAACCCGGAGAUAGCUGGUUCUCCUCGAAAGCUAUUUAGGUAGCGCCUCAUAUGUAUCCUCUCGGGGGUAGAGCACUGUUAUGGCUAGGGGGUCAUCGCGACUUACCAAACCAUUGCAAACUCCGAAUACCGAGACGGACUGUAUGGGAGACACACGGCGGGUGCUAACGUCCGUCGUGAAAAGGGAAACAACCCAGACCCACAGCUAAGGUCCCAAAUUCACUGCUAAGUGGAAAACCAUGUGGAAAGGCACAGACAGCCAGGAGGUUGGCUUAGAAGCAGCCACCCUUUAAAGAAAGCGUAAUAGCUCACUGGUCGAGUCGGUCUGCGGGGAAGAUUUAACGGGGCUAAGCAGUGAACCGAAGCUUGGGGUGUGCAACCUUCAGGGUUGUACGCGGUAGAGGAGCGUUCCGUAAGCCGUUGAAGGUGGAUUGAGAAGUCCGCUGGAGGUAUCGGAAGUGCGAAUGCUGACAUGAGUAACGAUAAUGCGGGUGAAAAACCCGCACGCCGAAAGCCCAAGGUUUCCUUGCGCAACGUUAAUCGGCGCAGGGUGAGUCGGCCCCUAAGGCGAGGACGAAAGUCGUAGUCGAUGGGAAGCAGGUUAAUAUUCCUGCACCUCGCGUAAGUGCGAUGGAGGGACGGAGAAGGUUAGGCGUACCAGGCGUUGGUUGUCCUGGGGAAAGGCGGUAGGUUUGGAUCUUUGGCAAAUCCGGGAUCCUUUAAGACCGAGCACCGAGACGAGUCUUUAAGACGAAGUCGCUGAUACCACGCUUCCAGGAAAAGCUCCUAAGCUUCAGCUUACGCAGACCGUACCGUAAACCGACACAGGUGGGUAGGAUGAGAAUUCUCAGGCGCUUGAGAGAACUCGGGUGAAGGAACUAGGCAACAUGGCACCGUAACUUCGGGAGAAGGUGCACCCUUUUUGGUGGCUCAUGCGAGCUAUAGCUGAAGAGGGUCGCAGUAACCAGGCCGCUGCGACUGUUUAUCAAAAACACAGCACUCUGCAAACACGAAAGUGGACGUAUAGGGUGUGACGCCUGCCCGGUGCUGGAAGGUUAAUUGAUGGGGUCAGCCGCAAGGCGAAGCUCUUGAUCGAAGCCCCAGUAAACGGCGGCCGUAACUAUAACGGUCCUAAGGUAGCGAAAUUCCUUGUCGGGUAAGUUCCGACCUGCACGAAUGGCGUAACGACAGCGGCGCUGUCUCCACCCGAGACUCAGUGAAAUUGAAAUCGCUGUGAAGAUGCAGCGUUCCCGUGGCAAGACGGAAAGACCCCGUGAACCUUUACUAUAGCUUUACACUGAACGUUGAGUUCGUCUGUGUAGGAUAGGUGGGAGGCUAUGAAACUGUGGCGCUAGCUGCAGUGGAGCCAACCUUGAAAUACCACCCUGUCGUGCUUGACGUUCUAACCUAGGUCCGUAAUCCGGAUCAGGGACCGUGUAUGGUGGGUAGUUUGACUGGGGCGGUCUCCUCCUAAAGAGUAACGGAGGAGCUCGAAGGUACGCUCAGCGCGGUCGGACAUCGCGCACUGUGUGCAAAGGCAUAAGCGUGCUUGACUGCAAGAUCGACGGAUCAAGCAGGUAGGAAACUAGGACUUAGUGAUCCGGUGGUUCUGUAUGGAAGGGCCAUCGCUCAACGGAUAAAAGGUACUCCGGGGAUAACAGGCUGAUACCGCCCAAGAGUUCAUAUCGACGGCGGUGUUUGGCACCUCGAUGUCGGCUCAUCACAUCCUGGGGCUGUAGUCGGUCCCAAGGGUAUGGCUGUUCGCCAUUUAAAGUGGUACGCGAGCUGGGUUCAGAACGUCGUGAGACAGUUCGGUCCCUAUCUGCCAUGGGCGUUGGAGAUUUGAGAGGGGCUGCUCCUAGUACGAGAGGACCGGAGUGGACGAACCUCUGGUGUUCCGGUUGUCACGCCAGUGGCAUUGCCGGGUAGCUAUGUUCGGAAGCGAUAACCGCUGAAAGCAUCUAAGCGGGAAGCGCGCCUCAAGAUGAGAUCUCCCGGGGCACAAGCCCCCUGAAGGAACCAUAUAGACUAUGUGGUUGAUAGGUCAGGUGUGUAAGUACAGCAAUGUAUUGAGCUAACUGAUACUAAUGAUCCGUGAGGCUUGACCAUAUAACCUCA